AUGGAGAAAUGCACACCUGACGAUGAGUACGUGUUUUGUGUCAUCUGGCAGACUAUGGCUGAGUUGCUGACCUUCACGACGUGGCUGACAUCACGGGGCCUAAGAUUGGAAACGGCACAAGUCAUGAUUAAGGAGCUGGGCAUCGAGAGCCAAGAGUUGCUUCGAACCUGCACAGAGUCUGACAUGUUGAGAGCCGAGCUGUUAUCGAUCGCCAAACACAAGUUUGCUUUUGCAAUGUACGCCGAGCUGCAUAACUUCAUUUAUUCAUACUCGGAACUGCGAGCCAUCCAACCUACGGGCUCUGCCCUAGUGGGUGUUUUGUGCUCGAUGCUGAAUACCGUGAGUCAAGAGCUGUCUCACUGUGCCCAGAAGCUCAGCUUGUUGACGUCAACGGGUAACGAUGGACAGUUUCAGAAUGAUGGAGGGGUCAUCGGAAUCAGGAUAAGUGACGUAUGCAGCCUUCAUCCGGAGGAGGAUGGAGCAAGCUCCCAAUCUGAUAUUCCAGAAGAGGAAGGCAACAUUCCUCAAACCUCACAAGAUUCUUUCAUUGCUUUCAUGGAUGAUUCACCAAAGAAAUCCAGCGAUAUUCAACCUCCAGAACCAAGGGAAGAAGUUCCAGUGGAGGUGGGAAGCUUUCAAGGUUACACUCAUCUGUCUUCACAAGAAUCUCUUAUUACCUCCGUCACCAAAGGUGGGCAGAGGUUAUGUUUUCACCUCUGACUGUCUGUCUGUCUGUCAGUCAGAUUCAGAAAUUGUGGAUUCGGAUGGGGCCCAAAACGAUAUGUAGCACGAUAUUUCAAAAAGUUGUGCAUGAAUUUGGAUGAAAAUUUUGUGGCCAGGUUGGUUGUGUGACAAGUUAGAAUUGGUUAAAUUUUGGUGAAGACCUGAAUUCGAGAAUUUUUAAGUGAAUUUUUCACCAUUGAUAGAAAGGGCCAGCAACGAAAUAUAGCAUGAUAUCUCAAAAAAUAUGAAUGGAUUCAGACGGAACUUGAUGGAUGAGUUGGGUAAGUGACGAGAACAAGCCGAUUCGAUUCUGGUUAAGUCUGGGUCCAGAUCCAGCCUGUCAUUAGGAUACAAAAUGUAAACUGUUCAGCCUGGUAGAGGUAUGGACUCUACCGAGUACCGUUCUGGUUAUCUUCAUGUAUUAUUAAUUGACGGGCAGGCAUAACUUUGCUGAAAUGCAUCGCACGAGUUUGGCUGAAUUGUUGGUAUAUUGGUCCAUUUAACCAUUUAUAUGCUUUGCAGAUCUUAUUAUCGGAAUUAAGGAAGAAUCAAACAUUGUGGAUGUGUCAUCCUUCCAAGGUAAGGGUUUUAACAAUAAUACCAUUUUAUCAAGUGUUGGAAGUAUUUCUCGACAUGGAUGUUGGUUAACACCUUCUGAUUUUGGUGUCUGAAACAAAUGAGGCCCAGAUGGUGACAAAUCACUCGUGUGGGUCCAGUACCAAAGGACUGGUUUCAUAAUGCCUUGUUUUUUUUUUUUUAAUUCAAGAGAUGAAGUCCUCAUGAAGCCAUAAAAGUUUUGUUCCUUUAAACUUUAAAAUAAUUUUGUUUGACUUUCUGUGUUAGGGAUAUAAAUGAAAUGUAUGUUGCAUGAGAAUAUUUCCAUUGGACUCUCAUUCCCCUCAUUAUAUUUUGGCUUGCUUUUCCAAAGAUCAUUCACGUCAUCAUUUUUGACUAAAUGUACAAAAAAGUUUACUUAGUUCACUGAUAAUGUUGACACUGCAUGUUGUGUUUUUAAUCUUAGCCAUCAGACAUCCAUUUUGUAUCCAGAACCGGGCGUAGUGGCGUGCGCCUGUAAUCCGGCGACUCGGAGGGUUGGGUUGGAGGAUCGCUUGAGGACGGGAG
Eptatretus burgeri (inshore hagfish) is the source of this 1845-nucleotide long non-coding RNA. Lineage: Eukaryota; Metazoa; Chordata; Myxini; Myxiniformes; Myxinidae. The record is from Ensembl.